RNAcentral lists this ribosomal RNA (204 nucleotides) under uncultured bacterium. Its description in RNAcentral is "partial 16S ribosomal RNA". It matches the Rfam family "Bacterial small subunit ribosomal RNA", at positions 524 to 724 of the family's 1533-position model. The record is from RNAcentral.
UACGAAGGGGGCUAGCGUUGCUCGGAAUCACUGGGCGUAAGGGCGGCGUAGGCGGGAUCUUUUAAGUCGGGGGGUGAAAGCCCAGGGCUCAACCCCUGGAAUUGCCUUCGAUACUGAAGAUCUCGAGACCGGAAGAGUAAGUGGAACUGCGAGUGUAGAGGUGAAAUUCGUAGAUAUUCGCAAGAACACCAGUGGCGAAGGCGG